UGCUCUAGGCAGCUUUUACUUGCUUAGUUAACUCCACAAGGAAAGGAGCUUUUGGGUUGGCUGGUUGGGGUUUUUUUCCUGUGCACAGUUAAAUAUUUUCUAAUUAGCAACGGAAUAACUGAGAAGAAAACUUGCUCUACAAAUUACCUUGACUAUAAGCCAUGGAUUUUUGGUCCCUUUUAGGGGGUCUGUGAAGGUGCAAGUGACUCCCUAUUCCCUUACCUGACCAAUCUAUUACUUGAUUUUUUUAGGGAGCCAAACAAGCAAUUAUCAGUGAAUUCAGGCCAGUAUAAGAGGGCUCACUUCUCUGCAGGGAGGGUUGAAAUUUGCGAACUCUAGAGCAAUUCAACCUCAAACAAAUAUCCUGCCUUGAAGUUGUGCAGCUGGCCAUGCCUGUGAGGUAAGGGGGUCUUUGUAAACAUGGUGUCUGCAUACCCCGUAGGUACUGCUGUCUCUUUACAUUUUGAUCUGUUUGAAUUGUGUAGUGCCUUGCAGUCUGAACAACAAAAUGACUGACUGUUCCCAUCAGCCCAUCACUGCUCCAGCUGUUUGCCUUAACCUGCAGCACACAGCCAGGCAAGAUUCUCCAGCACAGUCAGUGUUUUCAUUCAUUCCUAGAUUUGUUUCCCAGGUACUCAAUAACACCUGAGGAAAGCAGCAGGAAGAGUGUAUUUUGGGACUAGGGGGAAUUUCUGGGAGAAGAGAACACAGUAAAACACAUUAUUCAUAUUCUUCUCACACUACUUUUGUUAGCCCAUUUGUUAGUGAGCUGUAAGCAGUUACAGUCACUUAUUCCCUGAUUCUUUCCAUUGCAAGACCUUGUUCUCCACUAAUUAGAACAUAGCUGAAAGUAAAGCAUUUAGCUUGAUUUAUGCCCUCAGCAAUUACUGCCCUCAGAUGGACGAUUUUAGAGUUCAGCCAAAGCAGCUGCAAUGUUUUCAAUAACGAGGCUUGAUGAAAAAAUGUCUGUCCACGAUACCUUUCAGUGAUUUUGUAAUAGUUCUGUCUUCAAGGCCCGUUAUUUGAAAACUUUGAGCAGUAUGGCUAUAAUAAGAAAAGGGCAUCUCUUGCUGUUUCUAUCAAGUAAGUGGUUCAGUGCAGAUAAUUUAGCCACUAAAAAUAUCAGAAUAUAUUACUGUGAAAUGUCUCCCUUCUUACUUUGUGUAUGCCCCAGCUGGGGCCACACUCACUGAUCUUGUGCUGCUGCUGCAAGCCAUAAGGGCUGUAAAGGACCAGCCCUAUAAAUGAUUCACUUCAGCUGCUCUCAGCUAGGAUUAGGAUUGAAAACAGGGGGCCUUGGUUCUUAUCUUCUCUGCCAAAUGCUCCAGUUUGUCUCCCCUUCAGAGGCACCAUGAUGGAAUAGAGGAGAUAACUGACUGGCUUGUACAAGGGAGACAAAUGCUGGGCCAGAAGAAAUCAAAAAGAGACUGACCUUCUAGCACUGGAUCAAGUGGAAUGGAGCAAGCUGAUCAGCAGGAGAGAGGUUGGUGUCAGUAGGGAGCUGUGACUUGGGGAGGAAAGGAAAGAAACAAACUUUGAAAGAGAGACUUGGAGGCUGGAAACUAACUGGGGCCAACUGAUGAUUAGGGGAGAGGAGGAGGAAGGUGAAACAGUUAUGAAUCUGUGAAAAAAUUAUGUCCAUGAAUCUUUUCAAGUUGGAUGUGAAAGCCAAGCUUUGUGACUCCUCUGCCACCAGUAAAUAUCUGAAAACCUGCUAGCAAAAUGACUAUUCACUUACAAUAUUGUCCUCAUACAAAAUGACUGUAUUAGUGCUGUCAGCUAUUCCAGUAAUGUGUCAGAAAUCUGGGUAUUGAAUCACAGAUGCUUAAAGCUGUUGAUUAACCAGAUAUUUCAUGUUCCACAUGACAGAAUUCCUGUAUUUUUAAUGUCUUUUGAAAUCCAGAAGCUAUCACAAAAAAGAAAACUGAUUUCAAACAGUGUGAGUGAAGCUGAAAGUCAAACACACCAAACUGAGGAACUGUUAGAAUUAAGGCUGUCUUUGGAACCUUCAUUCACAGCUUCAGUCUGUCUUUUGAUGUUGUUUUUCAGUAUUUGAGUUCAUGCUGCUUUCUAACACUUUGGCUUUGAUGCUGCACAUUUAGUGUUCUUUAAAUGUGCUUUUGUGUACAUCUAGAGCUAAGCCAGUCAUUUCAUUGUAAGUUUUCUUUUCUAUCUUUUUUUAUUUUCAUGGAAUUUUUAGAAAAAGGGUUCUUAGAAGAAUAUUGAUGUUGAAAUUUUCUGGUAACGCAAAUUCUGCUUUUCAAAUCUUCCGUGUGCUGGGUAUUAGAAUGGAAGAAGUGGAUUGAAAUACUUUCCAUUGAGCUUCUGCUUGUUUGUUUGGGUUUUUUUCAAAAGUAGUUGUAUAAUUGCUAUCAGGAGAAGGAGCAGGCUGAAGUCAGAAAGUGCCUGCCUGGCUGUGCAGUCUGUUGGAAGCCUGUGCCAUUUGUGUUGACAAAUGGGCUGCCUGUAAAUCCCAUCUUCCCUGCAAUGGAGCCUAUACUGGAAAUCCUCCUAUGGAAUAGAUCCCUGGGGCUGCUGAGAAAAGCAUCACAUGCCCUGCCCUCCAGCCUGCAGGAUGUGCCAGCUCUGGCCACUGAGGGAUGGACACGCUUUUGUCUCUGGCACUGUGCAGUGGGCUCCUCCAGCCAACAGCUAACCUUGCACACAGGAGAGGUUCACUGCAGGUUUAGGUCAUUAUACAAAGGUCAUUCUGCUGUGAGCUCCAGGAAGGUCCCUCUCCUUCAAACUCACGCUUCCUUGCUAACCCUGAGCCCAUUGCCCAAGCCAGAAGCUGGAAAAUCCCAGUCCCUUUGACAAGAUGGUAUGAGAAUACAACAUCAGCAUGGAGGAGUAGUUCCUCUCCAUCUGGAAUAAAACAUACUGAAACCUUCCCUGUGUUCCUAUACAUGAGAACAAAAAAGCAGGGAGGAGAGAGUUACAUGACCAGCUAAUCUCUUCUAGGAUAAUAAGGGGAAUAGUUUAAGUGCUGCAACAAACAAAACAAACCCCCAGCCAUUCUGAGCCAGUAUGGAAACCUUAAUUUCAGCAUUUUAACGAUGUUGUAUUCCACCUGACAGCACAGCACAAGCAACGUGACACCCAGUCAAGGGCUAUAGUACAUUCCAAGUAACUACACUUCAACCACAAUGCUUUUCCCCUGGAUAAAAAUAAGUUGUACACAGUCGUACUGUGGAAAAAUUUUCUGCAUCUUUUGAUACACUGGUGGGCUGUCUUAGAUUAAGGACCCACUUAGUGUGGACAUGCACUUUAUAUUUUUGUACUAUUGGAGUGAAAAGAGGGAAAGUUACUUUUUUUUCCUUUUUAAUGACACAAAAAGUCAAUCAUCAGUGUUACAUUGAGAUGUUAUUUUUCUUCAGUAUGUAGAUCACACAGAGCUGCAUAACAGAGCACUACACCAAAAGUGAAAAACAACCACAGGAAGAGGGGAGAAAAAUCCUCUUACUAUCAGCAGUUCUCAACUUUAUGUAUAAGAGAAUUACUUCAGAUCAUGCAAUCUGCUUCAUUAGCCUGUUCAUCUUCCCAGUGUGUUAUUAAGGUUCAACUUGCUUAACAAAACCAGGAAGAUCAGAAUAUGCCAAUCAAAUCUGGAAUGACUUAAACAGUCUGUGGUAUAAGUGGCUUACAUAUUUCAUUGUAGGUUGAUGUGAGGAAAUUGCUGAUACAGACAAAACAUACAGGUUAUAAUUUCAAAGGCCCUGGAGCUGUAGGAUGAAAAAAUAUUCAGCAAAAGUCUUUUUCCUUAUUCAAAGUAAGAAGAAAAUAUCUGUGUAGAAAAUAGGAGUUUUGAAUUUAAAUCAGUGAAACAAUGAAAGAGACUGACAAAGAAGCAUUUUGAACAGCUCAGCACAGGCUUUCCUUCCUUGUGCAACCACUGCUGGAUGUAAGGAAAUGUUUAAUUUAUGCAGUCCUUAGUCAAAUUUUCUUCCUUUUAGAUGUAGCGUUGAAAUUAUAGGCAGGAGCCUUUCCUUUGGUUGCCACAGGCCUUAGACUUAAAUGCACAGUGAACAGCAAAGCUCUGCAUAUGGUUUAGAACCUAAUCUGGAGACUGACAAACUACAGAUCCCAUUCAAUGGAGACUUUUUGUCAUAGCAUGGGGUCACAAGUCCUGGCAUGCAUUCACAGGUGGAAGGAUCCAGAGGAGAAGCGGGUGAAAAUGAAGGAGAAAUGGAGUACAAAGGGGAAGAGGGUGUUGUGAUGGGCUAUUGAAGGAGCACAAGUGCCUGCUGAAAUGGUGUGAUCAUAAGUGUAACCACAAGCCCUGGAUGAGUAAAGGAGGCUAUUGAGCAGGACCAGUGAGCCUGCUUCUGUUGUAAUGGUCACUCAGUAGAGAUGACAAAAGAUGAGAUGCUAUUUGGACAGUAGCCUCAAAGUUGGGCUGAAAACUGGAAAUAUGCUUAAGGCAUGCAAUGUGUUCAUGUUAUAGAGAGAGGGAAGAGAGGAAAAAAAAAUUAAGAAUUAAGUGGUUUAAUCACUGUCCACAGGUCACUAAAUGUGUACAAAGUACUUUACAGGAGGGUCUUUAGUCUAGCAGCAAAAGUAUGAAAGGAUCCAGUGAUUAGGAGCUGAAAGUAGCACUUCCCCUUUAAUGUGCAAAAGUAAUUAACUUCAUAAAAAAUUCUUAGUGAUAUGGUAUGUUGAAAUUUUUACCUCAAGAGAGCAUAUCUUUUAGCAAUGUAUUUUCCCCUUCAAACACAAAUUUUUGACCUUGGUGCUAUAAGAACUACAGGGUAAAAUUUUCCAGGCAGUUUACAUUAUAUUUGAUGUUCACUAGAUUUAGCCUCAGAAAAAAAUCCUCCUUUCAGAUAGGUAUUGUCAAGAUGAGGUAGAAAAGGAAGGACAAUGUCUCUACCUGCCUAUGGAGGCUGGGACACUGAAAAUGGGUUGUAUUUCAACAACCUUGACUUUGACCUUCAUGGCACUGUUCAGUUUAAGUGUUAUUUUAAUGUUUUUUGUUCCAGGUUCUUUGUAAGUUGUACAUUUGAAUGGAAAAUCUUUAAAUGCUGCAACAUCAUAAAGUUCCUAGUUACUGUUUAUAAUUAAAAAUUCCCUUAACUUCUGACAAAAAUCACAAUGGUGCUUGCUUAACUAGAUGUUAUCACUAUAUCCUGUAAGAGUCUGCAUGCAACCAAACUCUUCCUUAUCUUCUCUCUAGCACAUAAUGAUAUAAUUUUGAGCUAUAUGAAGAAUUUGACAUUUCUAAUUAAUUCCCUUCUUACAAACUUCUCAGUAUUGCUGACAGUCAUACAUAAAUACAUUCUUUAGAGUCUUCUAUUUUGCUAUCUUUCCAGUAAUUGGUAAAAUAAUUCCAGAUUUCACAUUUACAAUAGUAGAGAAAUUGAAGAUCUCAAAAGUUUCCCAAAAUAUGAUUCCAGUUUCUAAGUCCAAAGUUUCAUCUUCUUUAUUCUAUGUUUACUUGAUCUUGAUGUAAAAUGAUUGUCUUUAAUCUGUUGGGAACAAGGUAAAGCAGCCCUGUGCCAAGAUCCCAAAGUACUGCAGGGAGAUGGGCAUCUUCUCGCUGGGCACAGCCCUGGUUGAGCACUUACUCUUUGUACAAAGUCCCAGAAUUUGUACCUGUGGAUAUCUGUACUCCUCAAACUGUGAUGAACAGGAUUUCUGUUCCUGGACUGCACUAGGAGAUGGUCCUUUUUUGUCUCUCUCUCCAGCCUCAUGCACAAUGUUUUUUUCUUGUAUCCUCCUGGUUUUCAUGGCCUGACUUUGGUUUGUGCACUGACUGCUCACAUUGCUGUUAUUCCACUCACUUUUUCUUGUCUUUUUAUAAAGGCAGCUCGAGUUCAGUGCUGACCUCAGCUUACCUGACAGCCCCAGGUCUUGUGCUGACAGGAUAGGUCAUAGCUGUGAUCUGAAAUGCUCUUUGCUGUCUUUUUCCCUCUCCUCCUAGAUAUGAAUUUAUCCAGGGAGAUAAUUAAGCUGCAGUUCCCACACUCUCUCUGUUUCUCCUGCCUGCUGCAGCAUGCUGGGUCCUAUGACAGGAUCACUUGUGUCCUUUCUCAGGCAUGUUGUGUAACUUCAGUGCCAGGCAUCUACAGUGUCCUCUUCUUUAUUCUUCCUUUUUAAAAAUGCUUUUGCUCUGCAGCAUGUAGCUCUGCUUGAUUUUGUAUGUUAUUUGUUUUGAAAUGUCCAUAUAUUGGAAAGGUUGUUCUGAUUAAAGACUUAUGGCAAAGUGAAUUGAAAUUAUUCUGCUCCUUCUUUUAAUAAUUGUUUUAUUUGCCCAGUCACCAUUUGUUUAUGAGUACCGCAACAUAAGCACCACAGCCAGUUUGGAAAUGUCCUCUGCUGACACUCCCCAAAAGAUGGGUUUAUCUAUCAGGAAGUAUCAUUUCUCAUUUUUGUGCUAAGCCAUCUGAAUCCUUCAUUUUUCACUCCUGUGUUGCCCCUAAAGCUCCUUGCUAUAUCUUGGAUUUCAUCCUGCCUCUCACUAUUGGAUUUCAUCCUGCCUCUCACUCUUUGCUCUGUGUGGCUCAGACAGCAUCCAGAUGGUCUCUUCCUGAAGUGAGCUUGUUCUGGAAAAAGCCUCACCACUGUCACUCACCAGAGGAUGAGGCUGACCUGAGAAGACUGCACAGUACAAAAGGUCAUUUUUCGUUCACUGGCACUUAGGAGUUAGCCAGCUGUACACUGCAUGUAUGUGUGUAUGUGUGUGUGCACGUGUACAGCGUGUACCUGUGGAGAUUUACACACACUCACACAUAUCCAAAUUAACAUUACAGAGGUAUCAGCUUGACUGCCUCCCUCUGUUUGGAGCAAGAAGAUCAUGUUUUCAGACUAUGUCUUCUAACCUGAAAUAUUCUGAGCAUUUUAGUAUUUCCUACUGGCUUUAAAUGGAUCCUAAAAUUUUCUAAGUGUUAAAGGUAAUCCAACUCUGCAUAAAAGGAUUUAAGAAUUUAAAACCUCAGAAGGUUUUCCAGUAGCAGUAAUUGCUUUCACUUGCAAGUAUCUCCCCAGAGGUACAGGGAGUUAUAAUAUUAGUGAUAUUUUUAUCAUAGUUUUGCACAGGCUAGACAAAGUUAGAUCUUUUAUAUAUUUCAGAUAUACAUUAGCAACUUUAAAUUCCUUUUACAAAAUUUCUGUUCCUUGGAAAUGUCUUGAUUUACGAGUAAAGAAUAUGUUAUUUUUGGAGAAUUGAAACCAUGUGGUUCUAAUUCAAAUUACUUCAGAUGCAUGUAGUUUGCAAAUAGAAAUUCCUCCAUAAACCAUUAGAUAUUGAUGAGUUUCUCCAGUUAAGAGUUAAAUGAGUCAGACCACGGUCUAUCUAGUCAUAACAAUUAGAGGCAGAAAUCAUUAAUAAUUUAAUUUAAUUAUAAUUACUCUUUUGACUGUGGCUGGUGUAGAAGAUUGCAAAUAGGAAACGCUCACAUAAUUAUUAUUCUGAAGAUCAUUCAGGACAAAUAAAAGUCUGAAAAAGAUGUUAAAUCUCUUAAAGGACUUACUUUAAUUAUUUUAAAGUCAUACAUUAAUUAAGGUGUUUACUUAUUAAUCCUUGGAAAUUGAAUUCUGUACUCAGAAUUAAGUGCUGUAAUUUUCUUGAGUAACUAAGUGCUGUGUUUCUCAUACAUGAGAGGUUGAAUUGCUCAACCUUAACUUUAGAAAUUUCUAUAAUAACUUGAGGGAUGCUGACAAUUAACUCACUCAAAAACUUCUCUACGCCUCUAGCAAGUUUUGUGGCUCUAACAUUCUCUCUCUUUAGAAAUCCUGUUGGCCUACUUUUUUUGGGUCAUUUACCAGUCAUCGUCUGCUGCUUCAUUUCUUACUGGCCUAAUUUAUCCAUCUGGAAUUGAAGCAGAAUGUAGACAGAAUUGACUCUGUGGCUGCCAUUGCAGGCCAGCUAUCAUAACCACCUGAAGUUGAAGCACUUUGACGUUUGUGGCUACUCUGAAGAAUCCCCUUCUCACAGACAUAAGGGAUGAGGGUGUUGACUGUUCCCACUGCUUUCUUUUCCUUAUGCUGCUGGCCCUCUGAAGCUACUAAGGAAACUUCACAGACCUUACACAUCAUACUGCUCCUUGGAAUAUCUUUAUUGGUCGGAGCUUUAGUUAUCAUUAUGAAAAGCAUUUUAACAGCCUAAAAAUCAAUCUGCAGGUUCAUGAUUUUGUUCUUUCCCUCUUGCGUACAUCACAUUCCUGCCCUCUCUUGGGUCACCCAUAUAAAGUCCAUACUAAGCACCUCAUCCUCAAGCAGAGGAUCAGCCCUAGUGCUUGUUUAAAAAUGCAUUAUUAUGGUCCAAAUAUUUUUUCCUAGAAAAAGUAAUGUUUUGAGGUACAUAGAACAUUGUAAGCAUAUUAUAAGAUGCAUGAGAAACAUCAGGUUGUUUAGAUUAAGACAAUGAAUACUGCAAUAUAUUCAAAGGCUUUUUCAGGCAUUUCAAGCCUUACAGGUUCUGCAGAAGCAGAAAAUCAGAAAAUUUCAGCAGAAAUCUCCCUGCAGAUGAAAUAAUGCAAAGCCACAGUUGUGCAGCAGCAGCACGUAGAGUGGCCUGGAAGGGCACUGUCUCUGGAAAAGGAGAGGUGCUUUCCAGAUUCAGCUGUGAGCCGGCUUGGCUUUGCUUUGCUUUGCUCUCUCCCUCCCACUCCCUCACUGUCUGUGCAGGCUGUGAGAACUGUCACUGCACCAGCUGGAGUGGAUUUAAAUUUCAUAUGGGAAGUAAAAUGUUGGUUAUGACAACGUGAAUUGUUUUCCCGUUGUGCUGUAGCACAACAAUCACCAUUUCCUCUCUCACGUGGCUCCUGUUCACAAAGCCCAGCACUGUAGUUGUAACCACGCCUGAGUUUUGGAAGCUGAAGCCAUUUGUCUCCUACCUGGCUGCUAUCUUCCCCCACACUGCUUUCUCUGGGAUAUUUGAAGUUUCUCCUCAGAGCUCUUUACCAUUUCUGUGAGGUGGCUCUGGCCAUGGUGGGUUGCCCCUUUUCAGCAGGGAGAUGUCAUCCUCUGAGCUACAAACACAGCAGACAAGAGACUGACUGAUGGUUGUCCCCUAGCUGCUGCAGAGACUGGUGGAUGCACCUGGUUUGUUGUGGUCAUCCAGUUCCAGUGACGUGUAAGAUCUGGACUGUGAAAACAAUUUACCUGUAUUUGAUUGACUCUUCUGUUUAUUCACCAGAGCCUUCUAGAAAAGUCUGGACAAGAGUUUAAGUGCUGAAGUCUGUUCAAGCAUACAUAUGUCAUUGAUUUAAAGUAAGAGAUCUGUUGUCUGCAGCAUCUUCUCAAACUACCUCUAUCAUAAGGAGCAGUCAUGUGUUUGUGAAAUUCAGUUGCCAAAUAAAAGAUUAAAGCUUCAGGCUUGAUUGUGGCUGUUAGCACCCUUUCAAAAACAUUGAAUUCAUAGGAUUCUAUGAGCAGUGAGCUGGGUGUCAAAAUAGCAGCAGGGAUGAUCUCUUUAACUGCAAGCUGAAAGCCAUAAAUGGCUUAAAAAAUAGUAUUGUUCAGGAAGCUUGGGGUUAACAGAAGUGAGCUUGGAAGUCUAUUUUGGAGACUGUCUAGGAUUCACUUUGAUUAUUCAUGGAUGAAUCAGCAUGUCGUCAUCUCCGCUGGUCUAGACGUAAGAAAGGUCUAAAACCCAAACCCAUGCAAGUCACGACUGCAGUGCAGGCCCUUUAUCUGAGCCGUGUGAAAGCACAGUCACUCUGCAAUCAGAUGCAGGCUCAGAAGCAGUCAAGCAAGAGCAGUUCAGCUGAAGAAGCUCUGGGGAAGAAAAGAAAAUCCGGGCCCGAAAUACUGUGAAAUAUAAAUAAGAAGACCAGUUUUGGUUGCAUAAGCAUAUGCUGAAUGACAUGUGAAAAAAAUAAUGUCCUAUAAAACAGAGAAGUCUCUCUUUCCCCAAAGGUAAGGCCAUUCAUGGCAGUUUAAGACCUUUCUUGUUCUUGUGACUCUGCCACACCUGCAAAUGCCAUCUGCACUGGUGAAUUUUCAUUGCCUCAGUGUCAUCGAGAGAAAGGUGCAUGGCCAUCUAGUUACAUUUAUUUAGUCAGCAGCUUCAAUAUUUUCCUUUCUCAGUAAAACUCAUCUAACAUAAAUGCAAGAGCUAAAGGCUCACUAGGGAUUGUAGAGCAAUGCAAAUAUUACAGAAGAGAUAAGAUAUUGUCUAAAACUCACUUGUUAACAAUUCUUUAAAGUCCCAUAGGGCUGUUGGUGGACAUUAAAAGAGAUUUCCACAGAAAUCUGGUGAUUUUCAAACCCAUCCUUUAGUACUUUCCAGUGGAAAACCAUGGUUUAGCCACUGCACCUCUAAUGAGAUUCCCUGCAAUGUUGCCUAACCUAGUCUUUGGUGAGAUUAAUAUCUCAGGGGCAAAAUUCAAAAUUUUCUGAUGUGAGUAAAUGUAAGAUACUCAGAUAAUAUGUGGAAAAAAAGCUUAUAUUACUUAAAAAUAAAUAAGUUUGUGCAAAAGACUAAAAUAUUGCUUCUGCCUAGAAAAUAUAGCCAUCUGGUAGGUGUUACAAGGUGUGAAGGCACGGGCAAUGUUAAGGAAGACCAGGGGAAGACUGUAACUGCUACAGUGGACUGUAGAGAGCAAGUUGAACCAUCCGAUUUGCUCACCAAACACCUACAUUGCAGAAUGACCCCACUGGCUUCCUACCCCGUGAAAAGUCCUCAAGUGCCUUGCAUGAGGAUUC
Long non-coding RNA from Passer domesticus (house sparrow), 10647 nucleotides. RefSeq lists it as uncharacterized. The transcript is spliced from 3 exons. Lineage: Eukaryota; Metazoa; Chordata; Aves; Passeriformes; Passeridae. The record is from RefSeq and is a predicted model, not a curated record.